This 1001-nucleotide ribosomal RNA is filed under the name Nigrograna schimae. RNAcentral's name for it is "SSU rRNA". It matches the Rfam family "Eukaryotic small subunit ribosomal RNA", at positions 88 to 1097 of the family's 1831-position model. The record is from RNAcentral. Lineage: Eukaryota; Fungi; Ascomycota; Dothideomycetes; Pleosporales; Nigrogranaceae.
UGCGAAUGGCUCAUUAAAUCAGUUAUCGUUUAUUUGAUAGUACCUUACUACUUGGAUAACCGUGGUAAUUCUAGAGCUAAUACAUGCUAAAAACCCCAACUUCGGGAGGGGUGUAUUUAUUAGAUAAAAAACCAAUGCCCUUCGGGGCUCCUUGGUGAUUCAUAAUAACUUAACGGAUCGCAUGGCCUUGCGCCGGCGACGGUUCAUUCAAAUUUCUGCCCUAUCAACUUUCGAUGGUAAGGUAUUGGCUUACCAUGGUUUCAACGGGUAACGGGGAAUUAGGGUUCGAUUCCGGAGAGGGAGCCUGAGAAACGGCUACCACAUCCAAGGAAGGCAGCAGGCGCGCAAAUUACCCAAUCCCGACUCGGGGAGGUAGUGACAAUAAAUACUGAUACAGGGCUCUUUUGGGUCUUGUAAUCGGAAUGAGUACAAUUUAAACCCCUUAACGAGGAACAAUUGGAGGGCAAGUCUGGUGCCAGCAGCCGCGGUAAUUCCAGCUCCAAUAGCGUAUAUUAAAGUUGUUGCAGUUAAAAAGCUCGUAGUUGAACCUUGGGCCUGGCUGGCCGGUCCGCCUCACCGCGUGUACUGGUCCGGCCGGGCCUUUCCUUCUGGAGAUCCUCAUGCCCUUCACUGGGUGUGUUGGGGAACCAGGACUUUUACUGUGAACAAAUUAGAGUGUUCAAAGCAGGCCUUUGCUCGAAUACAUUAGCAUGGAAUAAUAGAAUAGGACGUGCGGUCCUAUUUUGUUGGUUUCUAGGACCGCCGUAAUGAUUAAUAGGGAUAGUCGGGGGCAUCAGUAUUCAAUUGUCAGAGGUGAAAUUCUUGGAUUUAUUGAAGACUAACUACUGCGAAAGCAUUUGCCAAGGAUGUUUUCAUUAAUCAGUGAACGAAAGUUAGGGGAUCGAAGACGAUCAGAUACCGUCGUAGUCUUAACCGUAAACUAUGCCGACUAGGGAUCGGGCGAUGUUUCUAUCUUGACUCGCUCGGCACCUUACGAGAAA